AAUCAAUCAUUCAAUUAUAAUCAUGUAGAUGGUGGCCAAGUAAUAAGAAUUUGAGAUCAAGAGGUUUGCUUCCUCUGUAGUCUCAGGUUCGAGGUCUUGGUUGCUUAUAUGAUGGCCACUGGAAGUUUACAUGGUUGUUAACUUCAG
Long non-coding RNA from Populus euphratica (Euphrates poplar), 147 nucleotides. RefSeq lists it as uncharacterized. The record is from RefSeq and is a predicted model, not a curated record. The transcript is spliced from 3 exons. NCBI's taxonomy places the organism in Eukaryota, Viridiplantae, Streptophyta, Magnoliopsida, Malpighiales, Salicaceae.